Raphanus sativus (radish) is the source of this 547-nucleotide long non-coding RNA. RefSeq lists it as uncharacterized. Lineage: Eukaryota; Viridiplantae; Streptophyta; Magnoliopsida; Brassicales; Brassicaceae. The record is from RefSeq and is a predicted model, not a curated record. The transcript is spliced from 3 exons.
AUAGCACAUGUUGGUGUUUAAUUCAAGAUGAAUCCGACAUCAAAAUCAAGUGAAGAUGAAGCGGUGGGGGCAAAACAAACGAAACUGAAUAUCAAGGAGUUGGACCACCCCCAAAGGAGAUACAUGAUCAUUCUUAGAAGUACAAUUGCACCUAUUGAAAUAUACCUUGUCAGUGAUUCGGCCGAUCUGAGAAGAACAUGAGAAAACUCAAAAAGUCAAAACGAUGGAGAGGAAGCAAUGGCACUUACAUAUUUCUACUAAGUUCGUUGAACCGAUGACGACGAACUCCACUUGUGGAAAUAAUACACUAAUGGCGACAAAAAAAGUCGUCCCUUACUUCCAAGUAUGAUUUCUUUCAUGAGGCAUGUAUUUUGUAUCUCAUGGUUUCCCCUGAUAGAACUGUCACAUGAACAAACCAAGUGUAUCUCCAUGGCCUCAAGUCAUCGGUGACUUUUUCGGUAGUAGCACUCGAUGUUUUUUUUUUUUUGUAAAAAAAAUAUAGCACUCGAUGUUAGGAGUUUAAUUUUAGAAGCCUUGGUUUGUUUGA